AAAACAACAUAAAGAAUAGAUCAGAGAGUGACAUAGAAUAUAAUUGAU
This 48-nucleotide non-coding RNA is filed under the name Trypanosoma brucei brucei. The record is from RNAcentral. Lineage: Eukaryota; Euglenozoa; Kinetoplastea; Trypanosomatida; Trypanosomatidae.